RNAcentral lists this transfer RNA (66 nucleotides) under Echinococcus canadensis. RNAcentral's name for it is "tRNA-Tyr". The record is from RNAcentral. Lineage: Eukaryota; Metazoa; Platyhelminthes; Cestoda; Cyclophyllidea; Taeniidae.
ACUGAUUUAGCAUAUUUUUAAUGUGGUGGGUUGUAAACCCUUUGAAAUCUGGAAAGUUGAUCAGGA